AAAGUCAAGCCCACUGUGGAAAGAAAGAACUACCUACAGCAACUGGAAACCCCAAAGAAGACUGGAUAUGAACAAAAUCAACCAAUAUUAUCAGAAGUUCACCUUGCCCCAAUAUCUCAAGACUAUUCAUCAUUAUCAGACAACAAUGAAGCCAUGGAAUCACGUUGAGAUAAAUGCUUAUCAAAUUAUCC
Molecule: long non-coding RNA, 191 nt
Organism: Canis lupus familiaris (dog)
Lineage: Eukaryota; Metazoa; Chordata; Mammalia; Carnivora; Canidae
Exons: 3
Source: RefSeq, a predicted model, not a curated record